This 1036-nucleotide long non-coding RNA is filed under the name Bubo bubo (Eurasian eagle-owl). RNAcentral describes it as "lncRNA (ENSBOBG00000001266.1)". The record is from RNAcentral. Lineage: Eukaryota; Metazoa; Chordata; Aves; Strigiformes; Strigidae.
CCUGUACAUAUAAAUUGCUGAAUUAAUUUGUAAUUGGAGGGGUUUUAUUUAUUUUUGCAAAACUGUAUUUGUUGGUGGUCACCAUGUGGGUGGGAAACACAACAAAGAUGCGACAGUGUUGGAAAGUAAUAGCCUAAAAAAGUCCUUAACCAUCUUGCUGUGCUAAAUCCCCAGAGAGAUUUAAUAGUGCAGAAUAGAAUAUUAAUAUCAGUAUAUAAAUGCAUUUGUUGGGUGCACUCUCUCUGACAACAAUAUGCUUCUGUUGUUACAGCGAAUCACCCAGUGGGAAGUUGCAUGCAUUGCAAGCAGUGUUCUUGCAGGUGCCAUUGUACCCUGAUUAUCAGGCAGUGAACCAUGUGUUGUAGUUCAUGUGCUUUGAGAAGUUGUGGAGGUCACCCCAAGUGCUGCAGCAGCAUUCAUCAGGAAGAGAACAUUUUAUUACUGCACUUAAGCAGCAAGAUCCCUUUGAAAGGUACAGGGGCGCAGCACUUCAGGUUUGCUUACAUGCAGGUAAGAAAGUAGACAGUGAUAGAGAUGGUGACUAAAGAACUCGUUGGCAAGGCAUAAUCUGGAGAAUGCUUUUCUCCUUAAUGUCAGACUUUAUAUUCACAAUUCUGAUUUCAGUGUGAGCUUUAAGAAUGUGAUUUAAAGACUGUCCUGUUCCCUCACAUCUUUGUAAAAACCAUCCUGUACAUCUUUGUUAGCUGAAGAGUUUAGGUUAAUGAGCAGAAUGUUGAACGUUGAAAUGUUAGGAAUGUAGUGUUUCAAACUGUAUUCUUGGACAAGGUAUUUCUCUGUUCUUCAGAUAGUCACUUCUGUGUGACCUUCUGAACUGUUCAGUGAUCUCUUUUUUUCAUUCACCAGCUCCUUAAAAGCUUUUCUCCUAAGAACUAAUUCAGAGUAGUUUGCCGGAAGAACAUACACACAGAUUUGGGUCUAGAUUUAGAGCCAGCAGAAGUUUUGUUAUGAUCUUCAGUUCUCUGUAGUAAUCAAAAAAACUGAUGGCCCACAAUCAAUUUAAAAGGUUUUGAUUUCU